GAUUACAUUGUUUAAAUAUUUUAUAAUAAUUACUGUAUGUUUCAUCGAUAUUUUUGAGAAUAACUAUGAAUAGCAAUCUUUGUGUCGAACUACAAUUAUUACACAAUUUAACUUAAUAUUAUUUGUAAUUUGACUAAUCUACUUAAAAAAAAUAAGUAUGCUGGCGGAAGUGACAACAUCAUUCGGUCCGGUUCAAACCGCAACGGCUGGGACUAGACUGUGGCGGGCACGGCGAAGUUCAUUCUGACCGAAGUCUACCGACAGGACCUGGACAAAACAUCUAAAUACGAAAACAACUGAUCAAGAAAACACGGGAGGACAGCAGGCCAUAGUCGAACCAAGGUCGGCGUUGGAAGGACAGAGCUUCACAGGACACUAGCCACUGGGGCUCCUCGGUUUUUAUCCUUCUGUAAGGUAACGGCUCAUGGGAUGGCAGUGUAAACUUUGUACAUCUGUUGCAUCAUCAACGGGGGGACUUCUCAAACACUAUCGCCUGAAACACAGACUUUUAGGUCGUGGACAUUUUCUGCCCUGCAUUCAUUUGGACUGUCCAUGUUCUUUUAAAACUUGGGGUGGUUUACGUACACACUUGUAUAGAGCUCACAAAUGAGAGGAAACUGAAAAUCAGAAAGAUGUGAAAGCUUUCAUCUGAAAAGUUUAGAAACAAUAGAGUGUGUGUUUGAUGUCUGAACAUAUAUGGGACUUAUGCUACACACAAAAGCGGAAAGCACCAAUCCUACUCAUGUAAUGACUUAAAAGCUGAUGUUAUUGUAAAACUUCCUAUUUCUACCAGUGUUCAACAGCAUGGCAGCCAAUUUGCAUUACUGGAAUCAGUUAAUGAUGUGGAGUUGGAUACUUCUGUAGAUUUGGAUUUUGAAGGCGAUACAAGCGUGUUUCUGAAAGUAAUCGGUUCUCUCUUGCUGAAGUUAGAAAGCAUUUAUAAUGUUCCUGGUAAAUGUAUAGAUGACUUGGUGGAACAGCUUCAGUUAUAUAUAUAUUUCAAAUUUAAUGAAAGACGUUUUAACACAAAAUAACUGCACUGUUGAUGAAAUGGUUAUCAGUGAUUUAGUCGAAAAAUUGUCUGUCUGCAACCCUCUCAAUAAAGCUCUAGCUCCAGAUGGUCCGUUUUUUUCUAAAUUCAAGAGGGGAAAGUAUUUCAUAGAAAACUUUCAUGUUAUUGAGCCAGUUGAAUAUAUAUUGGCUCCAUCAGACAACUGCACCUUUCAAUAUGUACCUAUUCUACAAACCUUAAAGCUAUUAUUAAAUGACAAAGACAUUGCAAGUAGGAUACUGACAAGAC
Molecule: non-coding RNA, 1300 nt
Organism: Labrus bergylta (ballan wrasse)
Lineage: Eukaryota; Metazoa; Chordata; Actinopteri; Labriformes; Labridae
Source: RefSeq, a predicted model, not a curated record